AACGGCGAGUGAAGCGGUAACAGCUCAAAUUUGAAAUCUGGCCUCACGGUCCGAGUUGUAAUUUGUAGAGGAUGCUUCGAGCAUGGUCUGGCCUAAGUUCCUUGGAACAGGACGUCAUAGAGGGUGAGAAUCCCGUAUGCGGCCAGGUGCCUACGCUCAUGUGAAGCUCCUUCGACGAGUCGAGUUGUUUGGGAAUGCAGCUCAAAAUGGGUGGUAAAUUUCAUCUAAAGCUAAAUAUUGGCCAGAGACCGAUAGCGCACAAGUAGAGUGAUCGAAAGAUGAAAAGCACUUUGGAAAGAGAGUUAAACAGUACGUGAAAUUGUUGAAAGGGAAGCGCUUGCAACCAGACUUGCGCGCGGCCGAUCAUCCGGUGUUCUCACCGGUGCACUCGGCCGUGCUCAGGCCAGCAUCGGUUUUGGCGGCUGGAUAAAGGCCCUAGGAAUGUAGCUCCUCUCGGGGAGUGUUAUAGCCUAGGGUGCAAUGCAGCCUGCUGGGACCGAGGACCGCGCUUCGGCUAGGAUGCUGGCGUAAUGGUUGUAAGCGGCCCGUCUUGAAACACGGACCAAGGAGUCUAACAUCUAUGCGAGUGUUUGGGUGUCAAACCCAUACGCGUAAUGAAAGUGAACGGAGGUGAGAACCCUUAAGGGUGCAUCAUCGACCGGUCCUGAAGUUUACGGAAGGAUCUGAGUAAGAGCAUAGCUGUUGGGACCCGAAAGAUGGUGAACUAUGCCUGAAUAGGGUGAAGCCAGAGGAAACUCUGGUGGAGGCUCGCAGCGGUUCUGACGUGCAAAUCGAUCGUCAAAUUUGGGUAUAGGGGCGAAAGACUAAUCGAACCAUUGACCUGUAGGAACACU
RNAcentral lists this ribosomal RNA (854 nucleotides) under Pseudogymnoascus sp. RNAcentral's name for it is "partial large subunit ribosomal RNA". It matches the Rfam family "Eukaryotic large subunit ribosomal RNA", at positions 85 to 960 of the family's 3401-position model. The record is from RNAcentral. Lineage: Eukaryota; Fungi; Ascomycota; Leotiomycetes; Thelebolales; Thelebolaceae.